This 668-nucleotide ribosomal RNA is filed under the name uncultured bacterium. RNAcentral's name for it is "bacterial SSU rRNA". It matches the Rfam family "Bacterial small subunit ribosomal RNA", at positions 86 to 750 of the family's 1533-position model. The record is from RNAcentral.
UGCCGGCGAGUGGCGAACGGGUGAGUAAUGCAUCGGAACGUACCCAGUCGUGGGGGAUAACGCAGCGAAAGCUGUGCUAAUACCGCAUACGUCCUGAGGGAGAAAGCAGGGGAUCUUCGGACCUUGUGCGAUUGGAGCGGCCGAUGUCAGAUUAGCUAGUUGGUGAGGUAAAAGCUCACCAAGGCGACGAUCUGUAGCUGGUCUGAGAGGAUGAUCAGCCACACUGGAACUGAGACACGGUCCAGACUCCUACGGGAGGCAGCAGUGGGGAAUUUUGGACAAUGGGGGCAACCCUGAUCCAGCCAUGCCGCGUGAGUGAAGAAGGCCUUCGGGUUGUAAAGCUCUUUCGGCCGGGAAGAAAUCGUGCAGGCUAAUACCCUGUAUGGAUGACGGUACCGGAAUAAGAAGCACCGGCUAACUACGUGCCAGCAGCCGCGGUAAUACGUAGGGUGCGAGCGUUAAUCGGAAUUACUGGGCGUAAAGCGUGCGCAGGCGGUUUUGUAAGACAGGCGUGAAAUCCCCGGGCUCAACCUGGGAACUGCGCUUGUGACUGCAAGACUAGAGUACGGCAGAGGGGGGUGGAAUUCCACGUGUAGCAGUGAAAUGCGUAGAGAUGUGGAGGAACACCAAUGGCGAAGGCAGCCCCCUGGGUCGAUACUGACGCUCAU